GCUGUUGCGCUAUUGAGAGCAGACGUUGGUAUCUGGCGAAGGGAGCUCUGACUCUCGCAAGCUUGUACCUUUGAAAAAUCUGGUGCCGCUGGACUCCCACCCUGCGGUGCCACUGCUGACCCAGACGGGUCCCCACCUCAAACGAUUGAGCUGUUGAGGCUCACUGACUGCCAGUGUGGCUUCCUGCCCAAUGCUCUUGCGUUGAAACAAGCGAAAGUAAAAAAAAAAAGUCAAACCCAAACAACCGACGGUGAGGAGGAAGGGAGGGUGCCGCGCUCGCUCGGGAAGGCUGCCGGUCGCCUCCUGGAAUGCUCUCGGCUAGAUCAGCGUGAGAGUCGCAAAUAGGGCAUGGGCUUUACCGCGGCAGCUGAGAAAUGGGGGCGCUCCCGUGACAGCCCCGUCGCCUCGUCACGCUGGAAAAGUCGCUGCCUGACUCUGAGCAGGCCCCCACCCCCAUACGUCGCUGGAAACUCUGGUUUGCAUCCUUGACGUUGUUCGUUAACACUGCAGCGGGUCGGAGGCUCUGCGCUGGCUUCUGAAACAUCAUGUGCUGGCGACUUACGUUCGCAGUUUACUCUCUUAAACGUGUUUGGCAACAUGCUGAAUCUAACUGCAACACAUUUAGCAGUGCCUUCCAUGAUAGCAGUUGCUGUGGCGUAGCUGUGGCAGUCUUCGGCGGCGGCUGUAAACAGGCGUCUUGUGACACCUUCAAGGCUAGUGGGUUUUAUGCUAGCCUAAGCAUCUAGACCGGUGCAUGGAAGGAGGUGCUCCAGAGGAUCCAAAAAGGGCGAGUAGAAACGCGCUUGAGAAUGUUUGCCUUCAGUAGCAAGUGCAUAUAAUUAUGAACAGUCACUUCCUUCCCUCUUUGUUAAGCAAUAAGCCCACAGUUACCAUCUUCAUUCUUUGCUCAUAUCUGCUACAGGUACAGAUGAAACAUGAUGCUAAUUUGAGUGCUGUAUUUAGGGACCUGAAAAAUAUUAAAACCAGUUGUAAGAUUAAUGCCUCUUUCUAUACUGGAGAAUAUACUAAAGAAUGUAAAGAAUCAGUGAUGAGAUGCUUUAUCCUUGAAAUGCAAGUAAUUCACUAUGAAUCUCGGUUUGAAAGUAAUUUGAAAUUCAACCGUGCUGUGCAUAAUGUGCUGAAAAAUAUCAACACACAUUUUUCAGUCAGAAAUUAUCAGAACACAGAAACAUCCAACUGCCAAGAAUGUGAAACAUUUGAAGAAAAAGAAUGUACAGGUUUUUUAACAAACUUUGAACAUGUUUUACAACAGUUUUACAGAGAACGAAUAGGAAGAAAGUAAUAAAAUAGCAUCAAGAAAAGGUAGAAGAUAUUCUACUGCAACAGGAAAGACCUGAAAAUGAAGAAAUAUGAUAUGCAAUGGGGACAAAAUAGAAUCAGUAGUGAUGAAAGAGUUGCAAAGUUGGUAACUUUCCUGUGUGUUUAAUUUUCAGGAAAAAAGAGCACAUUUAUAAAGCAGGAAUAAGCCUGUUACGACACAAAAAUAGUUAAAUAUUUGCCCUUUCGUGUGUGUGUGUGUGUGUGUGAAUUAGAAAGCAACAUAUAAUAUUGUAUUGUAGAUCCCCGUUGUGCAGAUACUUAGACCCGCAGAUCAGGGCCACUUGAACAAAACUAGGUAUUUCUCUAUUUUUUCCAUAUUUCUAUACUUUUAUAACAUGAAAUCCUAGAAUUAAUCAUUCUAGGAAGACUCAAGGCCACAUUUCCAGUAGAUUGUACAUGAUUAUGUCCAACACAAGGAAAGAUUGUUCUGAAAUCUGAUUUUCUGACUACUUAAUGAUUUCUUUUGAUUAAGAGUACUGAGAUACUUAAAUUGCAAUUGUAACAAUUCAAUAAUAGUAAAUAUAAAAAUCUUUCAAACUACAGAAAACACAAAAAAGAAAAUAGAUAAACCAAUGAAAAGUACUACAUUUUCAGAUGCUUGUGUGUCAAGAUGCUGGUAGCAUCUGCCAUAACCAUACCUGGGGGUGGGGGGGUUAGGACUAGAGGUGAUGAUGUUAUGACUGUCUCUUAGACUAUGCUUGCAGAAGGAAAGGAGCCCACUUAACCUUGAACCUUAUGUCCUCUCCUGUACUGUUAGUUCCCAGCAGAUUUAGUCAGCCUCUAGAAAGGGGGGGGGGGGAUGUUAGUCUGUAAAUGAUCUAGGUGCUUGAUAUGUAGGCAUGCCUCAUCCCUGACAAUGAACCCAGUAAGAUCAUGAACUAGCAACUUUUCAGUAAAGCUCAUACUAACAAAUAGUGGAGUCUUUUGAGGGUUACUCGGCAGAUCCUUACAUUGUGUUUAAUAUUUCUUAGGGGUGUACGAUUCGGGUUUCGGAUUCGGGUAAAGUACCCAAAUCGGACCCAGUUCGCAAUGAUUUGGGAUUUCCAAAUCGGGCCCAACAUGCUGCCUUUUUUGAUACUUAAUGUGCAAGUUACCAUGACUUAACAACGUUGGAUUCCAUGGCUCUCUUUGCCUAAGUAAGGAUCCUUUCUCUGGUGGAGGAGGGCUUCUGCACUUAGUAAAAGGAUGCAGUAGGCUCUAACCCACUGACAUUAAUAUUAUAUUAAGAGUGACAUGGCAAUGCAAACCUGAUGCACCCCAGGGUGGAGGUGUCCCAGUGUCUGCAUAGUUAUGGUGCAGCAAGCCUGCUUCCUACGGACCUUCCACAGGGGGAUAUGCCAAUACAUGCCUCCCAUCAGGCAGCAUAGCACAGUAAGCUCUCUAGAGUAACUCAGAGUAACAUAGUAACAUAUAAAUCACUCAACAGCAGCCGAUGACCAUCACUGGCUGCCAGUGCAGCCAUUGCCCCCAUCCCACAGAGAGCCAGCAGACAGGGAGAAAGGACCCUGCAACUGCAGCAUCCUGACUCAUGGCUUGAGAGGCCCCCUUUCCAGCCCGCAGGGGACACUCACCCCAGGGGCAGACAAGAUGCCCACCCUCUGGUGGGGGCCCAACUCACAACAAAAAUGCCAUCCACUCACAAUGCCAUCCUUGGCUCUGAGCCACAAACCCCCUGCCCCUGGAAAGGUAAAAAUAGAAAGGCAAACAACAACGAAAAAAGACCCAAGACUUGCCUCAAACCCACAGCCACUCAGCUCUAGCCCCUAACCCCAGGGCCAGGAGAGGAGGUUCCAAGGAGAGAUGCCCGCAGGAAUUGAACACCCCACUGCAAUCCUAAUGUCAUCAGAGCCAGCCUGAGAAUACAGAUCAGGCCAGCCUGAGAUACAGAUCAGCAUGGCUUAGUGGAAAGUCACUGGGGUAGCACAGCUGGGACUCCUGGGUCAAUGCACUCAAAGGGAGAAGGGAGAGAGACAGGCAUAAGUCUGGGGGUGACUUUUUGCCCCCUGCAAAAAGCAAAAGGGGGAACAGGGUGGCCUAACUGAUGGGGCACCCCACAGAGCCAUAAUUUUGGCUGAGACAUGGCUUCACAACUCCCCCUCUGUUGUACCCAUGGCAGCAGAGCCCUUGCAUCCACCUUGCUCCCCCCCCCCCAACAUGCAUUGUGUGGCUUAUCACGUGCCAGCAGUGCUAUGGGAGAGUGUGGGAUCCAGAACAUCCCCCCUUUGCUACUGCAACCAGACACUGUCUUGAGCUGUCCUCCAGCUCAUUCCCUGUGCAAGUCACACACAGCAGGCUGUUGUGUGAGGCGGGGCGGGGGGGGGGAGGAAGAGGGGACCUAAGGUGGGCUCAGCCUCCAAGGCGCCAUCAUACAGCCCAGACUUUUAUUAGACUGUGCCUUAAGAUCAAAAUAAUCCAAACUAUGGUAUUCCCCAUUGCCAUGUAUGGAUGUGAAAGUUGGAAGAAAGCUGACAGGAAGAAAAUUGAUUCAUUUGAUAUGUGGUGCUGGAGGAGAGUUUUGCAGAUACCAUGGACAGCCAAAAAGACAAAUAAGUGGGUGCUAGAUCAAAUCAAGCCUGAAUUCUCCCUAGAAGCUAAAAUGACAAAACUGAGGCUAUUGUACUUUGGUCAUAUCAUGAGAAGACAAGAUUCUCUGGAAAAGUCAGUAAUGCUAGGAAAAGCGGAAGGCAGUAGGAAAAGAGGAAGACCUAAAACGAGAUGGCUUGACUCAAUAAAAGAAGCCACAUCUUCCAGUUUGCAGGAUAUGAGCAGGUCUGUUAGAGAUAGGACAGUUUGGAGGUCUUUCAUCCAUAGGGUUGCCAUAGGUCGGAGACGACUUGACGGCACAUAACGCACACACACACACACACACAACACAUUAUGUAGGAGUCUGAGGAUUCUGGUUUCCAACUCCCUGUCUGGCAUGGCACUCUUCCAAUGAGAGCUUCUCCAAGGGGCUCUGGGGGGACUGGCUGGGCCAUCCCUAGCACAUCAUGCUCAUUAGCAAGGCAGAUUCCUAGGUUGAACAGCUACCUGAGACAGGAUGCUCCAGGAGUCAAGCUGUACUGGAGUCUGAGCAGAGUGAUGGGAACUGUAAUGGCCAUGCCCCCAGGUCUCCCUGUUGAAUUGCCACCUGCGUGGAAAACAUAUGCAGCAAUGGCAAAGAACAGCCUUAGCACAAGCCAUGGCUAUGUCGGAAGCAGCACAGCCAGGAGAUUCCACCAAGGCAGAUGCUGUUACUAUCUUGAUGACGCUUACCCAUCCAGCAUGGAAGUGCUCUGUGGGUGAAAGAUGGAUUUGCUCUUGCUUCUGCAUUGGGCUGUGAUCCUGCAAGGGGAUAAGCCCCAGGGUUCUUUGCCAGCUUCAUAAGAGAGUGGGUCUGCUCCCAGCCACCCCAACCCACAGUUGUGCCCUGUCCUGUGGCCAAGUGUGGCUCCUGCCCAGGGAGUGUACUAACAGCCCUGUGUGGGGCUGCAAGCAACCCUGACCCCUCUCCCAACUGAGGCAGCUCUCCCAAAUAGACUUUCCUGGGAGCCUGCCUCAUUGCAUGACUUGGUCCAUGGUGCCCCAAGGGCCAGGCUCAGGCUGUCCACCCCAACAUGCCACUGGAAGCCAGCAUUGUGGCGGUAGCAUGUGCCUGAUGCAAGGGAAAGUGAUGGUGGAUGUGGAUAGCUGGGCUGGAGCAGCUGGAUGCCCAGCUCUUGCUCACCUGUUAGUGAAUGCUAACCCUUUCUAGCAGAUCCUUCAGAAACAGGGUACCUGUUAGGGGUCCGCAGUGAGAGAUGUUAGCCACACAGUCUGAACUUUGCUGUCCGCCUGGGGUGUUAGUGCUAAGUGCUUGCCCAGUACUGCUAAGUGCCCACUCUGUUUUCCCUGCCACUGAAGUAUCACAUACUCUAAGUCUGCACAGCAGAGAGCACCGAGGCAGAGUCGCAUGCCACAUAGCCUGCCUAAUGAAUUCUAGGGCAUCCUCAGGGUUUAUGACGGGUGGGAUGAUUGGAUGCUGGGAAGAGGGCUGGGCCACUGCAGAGCUGCAAGGGGAUUGGUGGCAGCAGUAGUCAGCAUCUUGUGCCCCUCUGAGCCAUGUAGACAGGGUCACAUGCAUGGGGGUACAGUUUUCCUUUUGUACAGAUGCGUAUGGUUUACGUGGUGUUCUUUUCAUGGUGUAACUUUCUGUUGUUGGGGGGGGGGGAUGUUUGCAGGCUGGAGCAGCUUAGGGAACCAACUAACUGUUCAUAUGUCUCCCCACCCCACCCCCAGCCACCCUGGGCCACUGGAGGGCAACUGUGGUGGAUUGGUGCUGGGGGCAGGACUGGUGGGGAGCUGCACUAGGUUAAGUUGACUUACAUCAGUGUUAGGACUAGUGGGCUUCUUCAGUGCUUUUGACACCCUUCCUCCAGUUGGACUGUUAGUUUAGCAAAAGGACUGUUCAGGCAGAAUGUAUAAUUUUUUUAAAAAGUAUAUUUUCAGAAAAGGUAGAAACCCAUUUAGGAAAACCUCAUUGGGAAGAAGGAUUCAUUUUUAGUACAUAAGAAAAAAAAGAAUUAAAUCCAAAUUUGUGAGAUGGUAGACAAGGAUGAUCGAAAGGCCAUGUGUAUCGUAUUGUAUUACAAACACUGAGAUUGCAAAUACAUGCAUUUAGAGAAGGCUUGUCGAUUCAUGUAUAGGUAUAUGAGCAAAUAAGAGUUGGGCACAGAGAGCUCCUUCUGCAGUGCCAGUACUGUAGACCAGGGCAUGCACCGACAUAACAGUGGUUUUGCAGGCACAUAGGCUAAAUACCUGUGGGAAAUAAUAAUAAUGUAUUCUACCUAAUGUGCAUAUCCUACAGUAAGAAGGCAGAAAAUGAAAUAUUGCUUAGGAACUAAAUCCAUGAUGAACACAACAGUAUGUGUGUGAAAAUUAGAUUACUGUUAUCUUUUGGCAUGUUGUAUAGUUUGCCCAAAUGGAAAGCAGGCUAUUCAAUUUACUUAGCCUGAAAUCAUUGUGCUUUAACUAUAAAUAGAUGUUAUGUAUUAAGAGAGAGAAAAGCUUCUAAUAAAUUAUGGGUAGCUAUAGAUGUUGCUCUGUACUGUUAAUCUAUUGUGAUGACCUUGUUUCAGAUCUACCAUAUGUUUUGAAAGAGAAGAUUUAUUAUAUACUGGGGUAAUAACAUUUUAAAAUACACAACUAGAAAAUGUAUAAUAAUAAAAACAUUCUUUAAUAUAUUAA
Eublepharis macularius is the source of this 6546-nucleotide long non-coding RNA. RefSeq lists it as uncharacterized. Lineage: Eukaryota; Metazoa; Chordata; Lepidosauria; Squamata; Eublepharidae. The record is from RefSeq and is a predicted model, not a curated record. The transcript has 7 exons.